RNAcentral lists this ribosomal RNA (2343 nucleotides) under Triticum aestivum (bread wheat). Its description in RNAcentral is "partial small subunit ribosomal RNA". Lineage: Eukaryota; Viridiplantae; Streptophyta; Magnoliopsida; Poales; Poaceae. The record is from RNAcentral.
AUGUCCCGCCUCCGCCUCCGCCGCUCCUCCACCACGCCGAUGUUCCACAUCCUCCGCCGCAGCUCCUCCUCUACCUCCAUCUCGCCCCCCUCACGUUCCUGGUCUCCCGAAGGCGCCUUUGCCGCGGCCACGGCGCGUCUCAGCACUGGAACGCUCAGCCCUGAAGAAGCACACCACCUGUUCGACGAAUUGCUUCGGCAGGCCACCCCGGUCCCCAGCCGCUCCCUGAACGGCUUCCUUGCCACCCUUGCCCGUGCGCCUGCCUCCGCGGCCUGCAGCAGAGAUGGCCCUGCCCUCGCCCUCGCCCUCGCUCUCUUCAACCGCGUGUGCGCAGAAGAAGCCGACCCGCGGGUGGCGCCUCUCACAGUCCACACCUACGGCAUCCUCAUGGACUGCUGCUGCCGCGCGCGUCGCCCGGACCUGGGGCUUGCCUUAUUCGCACGCUUCCUCAGGACAGGCCUCAAGACAAAUGAGAUCAUCGCUAACACCUUCCUCAAGUGCCUCUGCUAUGCCAAACGUACAGAUGAGGCUAUCAACUUGCUGCUUCAUAGGAUGCCCGAGCUUGGCUGCGUGCCUGAUGCAAUCUCAUACACCAUUGUUCUGAAGAGCUUAUGCGAGAAUAGCAUGAGUCAGCGGGCACUCGACCUGCUCCAGAUGGUGGCAGAAGGAGGAGGUGCCUGCUCCCUCAAUGUGGUGGCGUAUAGCACAGUCAUCCAUGGCUUCUUCAAGGAGGGCGAAACAGGCAAGGCAUGCAAUCUAUUCCAUGAAAUGACCCGUCAAGGGGUUGUGCCCAAUGUGGUCACGUAUAGCUCGAUUAUUGAUGCGUUGUGCAAGUCCAGAGCAAUGGACAAGGCAGAGCUAGUCCUUCAACAGAUGGUUGAUAGUGGUGCUCAACCGAAUAAUGUGACAUAUAAUUGCAUGAUCCAUGGAUAUUCCACAUCAGGGCAGUUGAAAGAGGCUGCUAAAAUGUUUAGAAAAAUGACAAGCCAUGGUCUUGUACCAAAUGCAGUCACUUGCAGCUCGUUAAUGACUUCCCUUUGCAAGCAUGGAAGAAGCAAAGAAGCGGCGGAAAUAUUUUAUUCCAUGACUGCCAAGGGCCACAAACCGGAUGCCGUCUCGUACCGUAUUUUGCUUCAUGGGUAUGCCAAUGAAGGAUGCUUUGCUGAUAUGAUUGAUCUCUUUAAUUCAAUGAAAAGCAACGGUAUUGCAGCCGACUGCCGUGUUUUCACCAUAUUAAUUGAUGCAUAUGCUAAACGCGGAAUGAUGGAUGAUGCAAUGCACAUAUUUGCGGAAAUGCGGGAAAAAGGAGUGAGUCCCAAUGUAGUCACCUAUGCCACUGUAAUAGCCGCACUUUGCAGAUUGGGUAGGCUGGCCGAUGCUAUGGACAGGUUCAAUGAGAUGACUGAUAUGGGUGUACAGCCGAACACAGCUGUUUAUCACUCCCUAAUUCAGGGUUUUUGUAUGCAUGGUGAUUUGGGUAAAGCCAAGGAGUUAGUUUCUGACAUGAUAAGCAAAGGUAUUCCUCGUCCCAACAUUGUGUUCUUCAAUUCAGUUAUAAACUAUUUGUGCAAAGAAGGAAGGAUUAUGGAUGCACAAGAUAUCUUUGAAUUGGUUAUAAUCAUAGAUGGGAAGCCUGAUGUCAUUACAUUUAACUCACUGAUUGACGGACAUUGCUUAGUCGGCAAGAUGGAUAAAGCAUUUGGAGUACUUGAUGCCAUGUUGUCAGCUGGCAUUGAGCCUAAUGUUGUUACAUAUAAUACACUUGUUAAUGGCUAUUCUAGAAAUGGAAGGAUCGAUGAUGGUUUGACUCUGUUCAGACAAAUGCCACGUAAGAGAAUAAAACCUGACAGUGCCACAUAUGGGAUCAUACUGGAUGGGUUGUUUCGUGCUGGGAGAACUGUUGCUGCAAGGAAAAUGUUCCAUGAUAUGAUCGAAAGCGGAAUAACAGUGAGCAUUUCCACAUACAAUAUUAUACUUGCAGGUCUUUCUAGAAACAAUUGUGCAGAAGAAGCGAUCGACCUGUACCAGAAAUUAGUUGCAAUGAAUGUGAAGUUCAAUAUUUCAAUAAUCAAUACCAUGAUCAAUGCAAUGUACAAGGUUAAAAGAAAAGAGGAAGCUAAAGAUUUGUUUGCUGCUAUAUCAGCGAGUGGGUUGGUUCCUAAUGCUUCGACUUAUGGAGUAAUGAUAAUAAAUAUUCUAAAAGAUGGAGCAGUGGAAGAUGCUAACAAUAUGUUCUCAGCAAUGGACAGGAAUGGUAUAGCUCCCUGCUCUCGUCUUAUAAAUAGUAUUAUCAGAAUUUUGCUCAAAAAGGUGAGAUCACCAUGGCCGGACUUUAUUUGUUGA